CAGCCUUUUGUCAAACAGUGAAAGUUGUAACCGUCCAACGCGAAAAUCAUCUUCAAAAUCCAGGAAAGGAGAAAAAAAAUAUUAAGAAGGGAUAAAUUAUUGGGUGCCAUGUUGUUGAGAGUGUGGAAAUGGUAC
Ipomoea nil (Japanese morning glory) is the source of this 135-nucleotide long non-coding RNA. RefSeq lists it as uncharacterized. The transcript has 3 exons. The record is from RefSeq and is a predicted model, not a curated record. Lineage: Eukaryota; Viridiplantae; Streptophyta; Magnoliopsida; Solanales; Convolvulaceae.